Molecule: long non-coding RNA, 2697 nt
Filed under: Heterocephalus glaber (naked mole-rat)
Lineage: Eukaryota; Metazoa; Chordata; Mammalia; Rodentia; Bathyergidae
Description: lncRNA (ENSHGLG00100045560.1)
Source: RNAcentral
CAGAGUGACAGGCUUGUGAUCUGUGCUCCUCGCGCAGGAAUCCCUCCCUUCCUCCCAGACACCCUGAGACAGCGGGAGCUUCCGCCCGAGCCCUUCUCGAGGCUGGGAACCAGUGCCCGGCCUCCCCUGCAGGCACUGCCCCUUUUAGGGCGUCCGGGGCUUGCAGAAGGUCAGCACCGCGGACAGAGCCAGACGGGAGGGCGGGGCGCGGCGCCCCGGAGACGUCACGGCGCCCGGACUUGGGCGCGCGCUCGAGGGGCCGUCACGUGACCUGGGCUUCUGCACGCACGCCCCCUCCACGCAGCCCCCUCCCGACCUGCAGCUGGAGCCGCUGGCCGCGCAGACCCCGCCCACGACUUGCUGCUGCCCCUGGAGGAGCCCUCCCUUUCUUGGUUAGGAGACACCUGCCUGCUGGCUCACAAGAUGAGCCAGCUGAGGCCGCUACUGUCCCGGCUUGGGGCCCAGGCUGUCAGGCUCCUGGCCACACGGGACAUCCUGGAGAGGAGCUGGCACAGCAGGUCCUCAGGGUCCCCAGCUGCCUUCCCCAGCAGCCCAGGCGGAGGCAGCUCCAGUUACAUGGAGGCAAUGUACUUGGCCUGGCUGGCAAACCCGCAGAGUGUGCACAAGGUCAGCACCCCACCCUGAGGGGGGAAGGGGAAGAUUUUGGGGGCAGGAGUCCUCCAUGGGCCCUGUUGUGAGAGGGGCCCAUCCUCUUAUCAUGGGAGAGGAGAGCUUCCUGCCUCUGUUGAACCAGAUGGUGGGAGGUGGUCCUGACGGUACCCUGCUCACCUGGAUGAGCCACUGGCUCCUCUCACAUGCCCGGCUGUCCCCAGAUGCCUCUCUUAUGCUGUGAGGGCCUCUAAUGUUUAUAGCUGCAUGAUCUGGUAGAGUAAAUGUUAGAUCAGACCACAGGGGGAAAAUUGAAACUGUCCUCACGUACUCUGCAGUCAUGUGACCCAAAACCCCCAAAGGAGGAAAAGUCAAAAGGCUCUAUCUAAAUUCACCCCCUUACGCUGUUCAGACCCCAGACUGCACCUGCCCUCUAGUUUAUUCUUAGUUUUUCUCUUUCUCUAACUUUCUUUACAUGAACUCAUUGCAAAAAACUAGAUUUCCUCCUCUUACACAAAACUAACAUGAACCAGUACUGUUUUGCUCUUUGCUUUUUUGCUGAGCAGUCUGCCUCCCAGCUCGAUCCAUACCAGUAUGUAAAGAGCCCAGUGGUUGCUUUUCCUAGCUGUGUAGAAUUCCACUGGAUGGAUCUGCCAUCCUGGUCCUGGGGGACAAGUGUCCUGUUUGCUGCCACACACGUGCAGCUGUGUGUAGCACACUUUCCAGGGAGGGAGGGAGCACCUGUGUGUCAUUCUGUGAGCACUACCAGGUUGCUUUCUGUGGGGGUUGCUCUGCUUGGUUCUACUGGCACGGGCGGAGUGAGCGGAGGAAGCACUUUCACACCUUCUCCAACAUGGCAGCACCCACAUGUGUACACUGCUUGUCCCUCUGUGUUUGCCUCACUGCCCUGUGCAGCACCCACAUCUGCAACAUGAACCUGCCCGCUGAUCUUUUAAGAUGCACAGUAGUCUAGACUCCAAACGUGGCUUGAAUUUGUUCACGCAGCUUUCUCUUGAUAGUCCCUUGGGGGCUUCUGUGCUGUCACUUUUACAGUCCUGCAGGGAACAUCCUGUGUGCACAUCUGGGCACACUGUGUGAGCACAUCUGUGGGAUAAAUGGCUGGCGGCAGAGGUGCGGUGCAGAAGACUCGUGCCUAGGUCCCCUGUGCUCCAUAGAACCCUCACAGCAGGAUCCCUGAGCCAUACUCACCUGCCCCCCCAACCUCCACACUAAGCUGCGUCCUGAGCAGAGCUGGCUCCGGGGUGAUGGGGUCCCCAGGGAUCAGCGGAUGCCUCCUGGGCUGCCAGCAUGGGCCACCCAGCUUCUCCGGCCCUGAGUAGGCUACUCCUUGCUUCUACCCGCCGGCCCCAGUCCUGGGACAGCUUCUUCCAGAAAGCCAGCCAGGAGGCUCCACGUGCCACCCCUGAGGGCAGGCCCAUGCCUUCCAGCCCGACCACAAACAGCAAGCUGGUGGAGGACCACCUGGCCGUGCAGUCCCUCAUCCGGGCCUACCAGGUGAGCCAGUGCCAUCUCCCCAGAGGGCCCUCUUCGGGGCGAUCCCCACGUGCCCCUGCCCCUCUGGCUGCCUGUGGCGCACCCCAUCUGGAGCACCUUGCACCCCCAGGAGGUGUGCUUGCUGACCUGCCGGCUGUGUAUGUCUCCUAUGAUCUUGCACACACCAUUCCCUAAGGACCCAGAGGGACACAGUGGACAAUUGGCUUCCGAUAGCCUCUCCUUGGUGUCUGUUUUCGCCCUAGACUGGCCGCUCCGGGAGGACAGGGCUGGUAUACCUUAGUGUUUAUGGAGUGAAUAUUUCCCCCCCCACCAGCUGCUCCUUCUGGAGCUCUGGGCUCUCCCACACUGGGUGCCAGGCUGAGCACCUCUGCUGUUGGUAUUCCCAUGACAUCCUCUAUUCUUAGGGGACCCCUGCCCAGAGUUCAUGCCGUGACAAGCACACGCUUGGGCUCUCACCAGGCACUGGUGGCAGAGGCACUUUGUAAGGAAACCUGAGGUGCAGCUGGACCCUGGGGAGCCAGGGGUCCUGGCAGGGCCUCAGCUGCUGAGGCAUGGUCUGGAGCAAGGGGUGUG